GAUGAAGAACGUAGCGAAAUGCGAUACGUAAUGUGAAUUGCAGAAUUCAGUGAAUCAUCGAAUCUUUGAACGCAUAUUGCGCUCUCUGGUAUUCCGGAGAGCAUGCUUGUUUGAGUAUCAGUAAACACCUCAACUUCCAUAUCUUUUUUGAAAUGGGAGUUGGACUUGAGUGAUCCCAACGCUUUUCCUCACCGAAAAGUGGCGGGUUACUUGAAAUGCAGGUGCAGCUGGACUUUUCUCUGAGCUAUAAGCAUAUCUAUUUAGUCUGCCUAAAAAACAGAUUAUUACCUUUGCUGCAGCUAACAUAAAGGAGAUUAGUUCUUAUGCUGACUGAUGCAGGAUUCACAAAGACAGGCUUCGGCCGACUUUGUAAACUCGAUCUCAAAUCAAGUAAGACUACCCGCUGAACUUAAGCAUAUCAAUAAGCGGAGGA
This 433-nucleotide unclassified non-coding RNA is filed under the name soil metagenome. RNAcentral's name for it is "partial contains 5.8S ribosomal RNA, internal transcribed spacer 2, and large subunit ribosomal RNA". The stretch from base 1 to 120 matches the Rfam family "5.8S ribosomal RNA", at positions 35 to 154 of the family's 154-position model. The record is from RNAcentral.